GGGGAAUAAGCUCAAGUGGUAGAGCGCUCGCUAAGCAUGUGAGUGGUACAGGGAUCGAUACCCUGAUUCUCCA
RNAcentral lists this transfer RNA (73 nucleotides) under Dreissena polymorpha. RNAcentral describes it as "tRNA-Ala". Lineage: Eukaryota; Metazoa; Mollusca; Bivalvia; Myida; Dreissenidae. The record is from RNAcentral.